GGGGGCAGAAGCAGAAGACAUCACGAAUGGUCUCAAAAUAUAAAUACUUUUUAAAUGAGGCUAAAAACAGGUCUAUGGCGAUCAUAUAGUUGAUUAUAGAAUUGACAUUGCUUUAGGGGGGAAAUUAUAAUGUUCAGAAUUCAUUGCAUCAUAUUUCCUGGCAGUAGGUUUAUAUCUGAGAUUGAAUUUCCCAAAACACUGGAUAUUGCACUUUGUACUUUGGGAUAGUAAACUUUGUUAGGACUUUGGAAAUUCCCAGAAGGCCAAGGACACUGGUUGUGAAAACUGGAGUAAAGGGGGUUUGUUUGGUAUUGCGAAACCAAAAGACACCUCGCAGUGGAAGUGAUAGGCCUACACAAAACAAGCCCAGGGUUGAGGAUCACUGAAGUGUACAGCCACAGUUGCACUCGUCAGGCACAUUUAAAAUGUACUGCAGCUUAACUAGUUACCUGAUCUGCAAAGGUAACCUAUGGACAUUUGGCCUAGAUUUCUUGCAAACAUGUAAGCAAAGAGAUCAUACAUCAUACAUGAAAUCCUCCAGGCCCUAAACAGUGACCCGGUGGACAUUGAGACCCUGCGGAGGGCGGCCAUCAGCGAGGGAGGCCUUCUAACAGACGAGAUCAGGAGGGAAGUCUGGUCCAAGCUGGGCGUCAACGUCUACAAGUUGCCUGCUAAACCUAGCAUGCGUGUGGACGAGAAGCACGUAUUACAGGAACAGCUGAUUGAUAGCAUCCUGAUUGUCCCACAGAAGAACCCUGUGUUGCACUACUACCAGGGUUACCAUGACAUCAUGGUCACCUUCCUACUGGUGGUAGGGGAGCGCAUGGCCUUCGCCAUGGUGGAGACCCUCUCUAACCACCACCUCAGGUCGAUAUGAGGAAAUCGGCACACUUACUAUGAGACUCUUUAUGAAUACAUAAGGGCACAGACCUCCAGACCUGGGUUCAAGCAGUUAUUUUAAAUAUUCCCAAAAUACUUUGAGCAUUUGCUUGAGCCUGCCUGUAGUGCCACAUGACAGGCUUGGCAAUUUUGAAACUCUUCCAUUGUACCAGGCAAGCUCAAUCAAACACAGCUCAAAUAUUAUUUGAACCCAGGUCUGUUAGGUAGCCUAGUGGUUAGAGU
Salvelinus sp. IW2-2015 is the source of this 1122-nucleotide non-coding RNA. The record is from RefSeq and is a predicted model, not a curated record. Lineage: Eukaryota; Metazoa; Chordata; Actinopteri; Salmoniformes; Salmonidae.